CGUCUCAGUUCGGAUUGUAGUCUGCAACUCGACUACAUGAAGCUGGAAUCGCUAGUAAUCGCAGAUCAGAAUGCUGCGGUGAAUACGUUCCCGGGUCUUGUACACACCGCCCGUCACACCAUGGGAGUCGGAAAUGCCCGAAGCCGGUGACCCUACCAAAAGGAGGGAGCCGUCGAAGGCAGGUCUGAUAACUGGGGUGAAGUCGUAACAAGGUAUC
This 217-nucleotide ribosomal RNA is filed under the name uncultured bacterium. Its description in RNAcentral is "partial 16S ribosomal RNA". It matches the Rfam family "Bacterial small subunit ribosomal RNA", at positions 1284 to 1500 of the family's 1533-position model. The record is from RNAcentral.